AGACCCCAAUCCCCUCCCUGUGCUGGGGACAGAGCAGGCAUCCUGGUUUACAGCUCCCCCCAUGAGCUGCAGUGCAUUUUCCAGCUCUGGCCAGGUUUAAAUCAAGACGGGGUGUUUUCCUAAGAGAUCUGCUCUGGUUCCAGCAGGGAUUAAUUCAGGGCCUGGGUCAGGCAGGGGGCCAGAUGACAUGAUCACAGGGAUCCCUUCCAGCUUUGAGAUCUAUGAGAACCUUGAGCUGUCAGCAGAGCCCCAGGGCAGCUCAUUGUAAGGGCUGACAGCACAGUCCUCAUCAGCUGUGGAUGCCUUGGUAGGAGGAGGAGCCAGGUUGAUCUGCAGGUGGACAGGGAGUUUCACCACCUGCAGCUGAUCAGUGAGUAAAGCAGGGCCAGGAAGUAUAUUUAAGGGCCGGCUCUAGGCCAGGCUCUCUUUUAUGGGGAAGGUUAUGACAGAGAAUCCCCUUUGAAAACUGCUCCAGCUUGCUGCUAGUUUGGGGUUUUCCAGAACCUUCCCCCUCCACUGGGGGUGGGAACAGGCUUCUCAUUUCCAGCCUCAGCUGAUCCCUGGGGAGUAGGAGUCGCAUCACCAGAAGAGCACAGCCUGCCUGGAUGGUGUUACUGCUGGAGUCACUAGAGGGGAAAAGGAUAAUGGGUGCAGUGCGGGGCCGCGCCCUCAGAAAGUCCAACAGCUGUUUGACUCUGGGCUGGAUUCUGCUUUUGAUUCCUGCUGUGUAACCCCACUGACUCCACUUCAGACCAGAUAUCCCCCCACCCUGUCUCUCCCCAUUGGGUCAUUCUGGUUUUGCGGGUCUAAUCGGAGCACCAUUGACCACUGUAUAGCCUGGUCUCUCCAGGAGCCGUUCAGGGACCCGGGCGCUUUGGUGAAUUGUCACAGCAUGUUUGAAACCCUGUUGGUAUUUCUGUAACCUUUGGGGGCGUUUUUAAGUCACGGAAAUAAUUCUGUAGGAAGAGAGACACUGAGACCAAGGCAUAUCUCCUUCAGUCAAAGCGGUGUCAAAUGCCAAGGAGAGGGCGGCCCUUAUUUAAGGGCGAGGGCGUGGGGAGGAACAAAGACGGGCUUUACUUCAGCAGUGAAUGUGCCAAGCAUUUAAGGCCGAUGUCCCAGGGUGGCUGGCUUCUUUAAGAGGUGCCAGGUUCGGGUCUAGUCAUGAUGACCUUUUUAAAGAAGGCACCCACCUAUAAUUAACGGCCGAUGUGGCUGGUGGGCAGUGUUGAUGAAUGAUAGCGUCAAUUGCUUGGCCAUGCUUUGGUUUGUUAUGAAAUAUAUAAAAGAGCUCAAAUAACCAAUAUCAGUGAGGUUUAUUGCAGAAAGUCAAUAAUGGCAUAGUACAGGAAGAAAAGUUCAAUAAGAUACCGUGACAGAACGCACCCCUGUAUUCACAUCUGACACUACUGUAAAAAUCUUUGUACAAAAUAUGCCUGCUUGAGGAACUGUGUGACAAGUAAAACUUGCUGCUAAUGAUAUCACGGUAAAAUGUACAUAGCGACAUUAUCGGUAAAGUUCUAAACAUAACCUGAAAUCAAUACUGUGUGUUUACCGGACAUGUCUGAGGAGUGGGCAAACCUGUUUCUCAAACACAAAAGACAAGUUGAUACCCCAGGCGGGUGUCAUCACCUAUCAAGUGCAGGGCCGGAUUAAUGCAGGGGCUUUAGGGGCUGCAGCCCAGGGCCUUGGGCUAAGGGGGGCCCCUCGGACCCUCCAGCCGGAUGUAGCCCACUGCUUCUUUUCAUCUGGCCCGGGGUAAGUCUCCGCGCUGCGGGCUGGACACUGUUCCCCAAGCCUCGGCGCCCCCUUCAGGCCCGGAGCUGCUAGCACAGGCUCGCCAAUGUGCCCUUGCGGCAUCUAGGCGAGGGGCGUUCAGGGAAUCUCUGUGUGCUGCCCCCAGCCUCGGCUCCACAGCUUCCAUUGGCCGGGUAUCCCAGGAGCUGCCCAAGGUAAGCGUCUCCCGGCUGGAGCCUGCACCCCAAUCCCCUGCCCUGGGCCACUCCCCCACUCCAAACCCUCAGGGGCCCCACAAAAAUCGAAUAGUCCUGGGCCCACAGGAGAGUUAAUCCGGCCCUGAUCAAGUGGUCAUUCUUUGGCAAGGAAGCAGGGCAGGAACACACAGAUCCGAUCUUGGCAAAUGACAGUAUGAAACCUUUCCCCCAUCAAACUCUGUGUCUCCUUGCUCUCAGCUGGAAAGCGCUUUUAACCAGGGGUCGUGCUCAGGAACAUGGUUUCCAAAGGGUGACUGAGCUAUGAAAGAGGGGCAAAAACAUCCCAAGUUAUCUCUUCUUGUCCACCUCUCUUUCACCUAAGCGGACAAAAGGAAACAGCCACUGGACCUUGGGAGCAGAUCCUGCCCUGUAAUUUGGUCAGCAAUGCUACUGAACAUCUGUGAAAAAUACCUCUUUGAUAGGGAAGUCACAAGAGCGGUCAUGCAACCUUUCCAGCGGUAUGUUUUGGUGUCCAGGGCAGCCGGCAGAGAGGUAAAGCAUUCUGGGGUAGGGGGCAGGACUGGAAAGACCUGGCUGGUAGUUCAGCUGCUAGUCCCAUCUGGGCUGGGGGGGACAGGACUUCCUCUUCCACUGCACAGCAUCCGGGGUCGUUUCAGACCCACCCCCAGAUUUCUCUCCCAGCUGUAGGACGUGCCGCGUGCACAUCCCGCCACCCCCACCCCAACACUUCCUGCACCCAUUGCUCUUCAGCUACAGGGGGGAGGGAUUGCUGUAGAGGGAGCUGCUCCCCCUGUGCCGAACCCCAGGCCCCCUCAUUCUCAGAUCCUCCUGCUGAGCCUCACCCCCCAC
Molecule: long non-coding RNA, 2804 nt
Organism: Chelonia mydas (Green sea turtle)
Lineage: Eukaryota; Metazoa; Chordata; Testudines; Cheloniidae
Exons: 3
Source: RefSeq, a predicted model, not a curated record